GCUCCACAAAUGAAGUGGUAAAUUAACUGAAAGAGCCCAGUCAGACUGUGAGGACCUCCACUUCAUGUUUUAAACUGUUGUGUACAACAGUGCAAGAUUCCAAAAAGAAUGUCAGACAAAUAUUGGAGAAAAUAGGGGAAUUUCAAUUAAAACAGGCUAUCACUCUGCAUGCUGUAGGAGAUGGCUUCAUGUGUCACCUCAAGACAAAAAAAAUAAGAAUAAUUCAAAAGGACAUUCAUGUUGUACCGCUAAAUGUUCAAUUUAGGUGACUUAGAAGGAUAACCAGUAUUAGGUAGAUGUGCAUACAACUAAAAAUACAUAGAUCACUCAAAGCAAUGUAAGAUGAUUGAUAACUUUAAUAAACAAAGAUAAAAAUUAGUAGCACAGUACAAGAAGGGGCAAUAGAGUUCUGUACAAUUCUUCCACUUUUUACUUUUAAAUCAAAGCCUGUAUUUUUACUUUUCAGAGGAUAAUAACUCUUAAACAUACAAAAAUAUUCAGGCAUUCCUGUACUUUUCAAUAAAAGAUACUCAUUUACUUGCUUGUUUAUAAAUAUUCAAGACUCACUUUGCUGUUCCAACAUUUUGCAUCUUCCUGGAUUUCUGCUUUUUGCUUCACUAACUCCUCAAGGUGUUUUUCAUCCUUUAUAAUCUUCUCCUCUGUUUCUUUUAACUUCAUACAGUAUUCGGUCCAAAUAAAUUCAGAAUGCUUUAACUCAUUCCUAAUAGAAAUACACACGAAGUGAAUCCAUCUAUCUGGAAAUAUUCCAAGGUAGUCCCUCUCCAUAAAGGAAAAUGUAAAGCAGAUCCGAAUUAGUAAAGAUUUAUUUUGAUUCUCUACUACGUUUCUUGAGCAGAAGAACUUUCACAAGACUGUUGACACCUCAAUACGUGAGAAGUUCAGCCGCAGAGUAACAAACAGAUGUAAUGGGAUAUUAUGAUGGUUCUGAGCCUAUAUUUUUCCUCUUCUACAACAUAUCAAAACAAGACUGAAAAAGUGGUCAAAAACACAACGGAGAAGAUCCGUCUGACAUUCUCUGAGGCCCUUUUCUUGGAAUAGCUAUAAAUACUGCUCUGCUGCUCUCAAUCUAAGAAAAAUACUGCAGACCGCAAGGACAAGAUGACAUUCCAGAGCUGUGAUGGCUACCAAUCAUAUGAAAACUGUUUAAGUGAAGACGCAUUGACCACUGCAUCUCUGACUUCAAGAACCUAGGUUUCUUUAGAACUCAACUGUUUUCCUUAUGAAAAAAAUGGAUAAUUUGCCAGCCCUCAAAUCAGCAUGAAUACAGAGAGUCUUCCUUCCUAUAUUUUAGGGUCCUGAUUAUUGUUUGGUGCUGUGAUAUAUUUUGUUAGUCAUCUGGAUAUAAAAAUAAUAAACUACACCCACAGAAGCUACAGGAUAACAUGGAGAACUUCUGUGAAAAGGAAUUGAAGAUUUAUAGCUGUUGACUGAGAGACUUCAGAGAGCCAUGCAGUAUCUUCAUAUAAUGUGAUGUGUUGCAAACGUAAAGGAACUUAGAAAAAGGCCUUAAAAUCAGAAACAAAGAUACUUGCAAGACCAAGUUUGGCAGCCACCAAGGCACCCAUUACUCACUGACAGUAAACAAGCAUGGUAUCUUGAAAUAUCAUUGUGCCACAUUGUAUAAAAAGCCUACAAGUUUGAUGUUGUGCUUGCUUAUUCCCCAGCUAUAGGAAUAAAAUCUAGUUGGGGAAAAAAGGAAGUUGAAAAAAUAGGUUCACUAACCACAAUGACAUUUAUGCUCUUCCCCUCAUGCAAAAGUAAAAAAUUUCAUGGCUAUAAUACUAUAACACUACUCAGGAAUAUUAUAUAGAUAAAAAAAAAAAAACAAAAAAAAAAAACCACACGUCUGUCAACAUUUGCCAUUCUCCGUUGACACUGAAGAGCUUGAAUCAUACAAGCAAAAAAGCAUACCCUGAUUUCAAGCAGCUAUUGCAUCACAAUUGAUAUAUCUUUGGAUUGCAGCGCAGAAAAGUGAAUUCUGAAAGGAAAAGUAACCUGCCACUAUGGAAUCUGUUCUCUGAUACAUCUUUCCUCUACAUCUGUUGACUGCUUUACUAUCAGUGUAUCUGUUAUUAAAAGAUUCUUGUAAAUGAAGUAGAAAAUUAUUUAUUGUGGAUUCUGCAUUAAAUAGACUCUUGUCAUCUUUGGAACUUCGUUCUUCUCUCUUAGAAAACCCCUUCACUUUGACAACAUUAAGCAUGUCCUCUAGUUUUCAUUUUGUUUAAAUCAGCAGAUUACACAAACCAGAGCGUGGUCACACAGGUCUGAAACUCUAAGUGAUAAGGCAGAAGUGCAGUAAUUUUUCACAGAAGUUCUGUGGUUUGAAAGACAAUUGUCUUUCUCCUGCUUGCCUAUUCUGGAGUACCAUGUAGUUAAGUUUCUUUCUAAUCUUUCAAAGCUCUCCUCAAUACUCACUCUCGUUAGAAUUCAUUAGAAUUUGUAAUCAAGGCUCUGGUAGCCUGCACUCUUAAUUAUAUGCUAUUUGUUGUCAUGUUUUGUUUUUUUAUGCACCAAGAUGAAAGGCAUUUUCAUGUUUCUCUUAACAUCUUAUACGGUGACGAAUAUCUUAUUUGACAAAGCAUAUGGGAGAAAAACAUGCUUUGGGUGUAUUUUAGGUGAUUCCUAACUAUGGAAUAGUCCAGCAAAUGUCUCUUUAUUUCUAAAAGGUUUAAAUUAUUCAGGAAUUGCAAUUUCAGUAGGGGCUGUCAAAAUUAUUAAAAUUACUUUAUUUUUUUCUACAAACUCUUAUCUGAUUUGAUAAAAAAGCUGGGUGAGAUUCUUAAGAAUAAUUUGAUAGGCACUCAAGUCGUACACUACUACUGUUAAAAAAAAAAAAUUGUUCUAUGCAAUCAGGGUAUGUACUUAAAAUGAGUAAUAAAUAUGACCAAAGUACAGAAGUCACAGUAUGUAGAAAAAAACAGAAAAGGUAGAAAGACAAGUGAACAAGUUUCAAGGGCAAAGAAUGGCAUGGUAACCUUAAAAAGAAUAGGUGAUUCCAGCUAAAAAAAAGGUGAUUUUAAGACUGCUGUCAGCAUUUUACACUAUUAAGAGCACAGACAUAAAAAAGCUGUAAUAGUUAAGUGAGAAUUUGGAAAGAGUAGUAAUCCACCCUCAUCACUAAUCUAAGAUUGUCAACGAAUAUGAGUGACAUUUGACAUAUUACACGCUAACAGACAAUGCUAAUACACGCAUGCUUAUAAUUUUCCUCUAGUUACAUGUUUUCCCACAGGCAUCAGAUUUUCAGUCUAGAUUCAGAUGAUACCUACUUCCCACUAUGAUCUGUGAGUCAGAAGACAAAUAGCAAACAGCUGCAAAGUAGAUGCUUUUUUGUUUUUUUCUUUUCUUUUUUAAUUCUAUUGUGUAGAUGCCAGCUAAUCACAGAAGGUAACACUAAAUGUCCUUAGAACCUGGGAUUUUGAGGAACACUAUCAAU
Molecule: long non-coding RNA, 3454 nt
Filed under: Gallus gallus (chicken)
Lineage: Eukaryota; Metazoa; Chordata; Aves; Galliformes; Phasianidae
Source: RNAcentral